Non-coding RNA from Pelobates cultripes (western spadefoot toad), 471 nucleotides. Lineage: Eukaryota; Metazoa; Chordata; Amphibia; Anura; Pelobatidae. The record is from the annotation of a GenBank genome assembly.
GUUUUGUAUGAAGGACCCCCUGCAGGCAAACUCAACAAACUGUUCCAUAUAAUAAUCAUGCUACCCAUUAUACUCUGACUCGUCUAGAUGUGUGGGGGGAAAGACUAUAGUAAAGCUAUAAUCACUGCCCUACAGGAGAGGGCCUUCAGCGCUAUAUUCACAGCUGCCUGGUCUGGUGGAAGAGGACCUACGAGCCCCCAGUCAAGCUGUGGAUCUAUUAUCAGAGAACCUUACCUGUGCAAAUACACUUUGGGCUCAUUUGUUGACCCCACUCAAGUUUAUUACAUGAAGACAUAUAUAUUGGUUACAUAGUAGGAUUAUGUAUGAAUGUGGGUAUGCUGCAAAAGCUGCCAUUUUGUGAUGAAAAGUACAGGUACUCUACUUACCGACCAGGUUCCGUUCUUGAAUUUGCAGCUCUAUGAGGAAAAAUAAUCAGUGUCUCCCUGCAGAGGGUGUAGAUACUGAAUGUCA